UUGUCUCUUUUUCGACGCCGCGGACAAAGAACCGUUGCUCUCUUAUUUCAGCCCUCUUUUAUACUUUUUCUCCACUGUGUGUGUGUGUGUGUGUGUGGAGAGCUUGGUCUGCGUGACUUCCUGAACAUCUGCUGCUUCUCUGGUGGAAAGUCCCGGCCCCCAUCCUGUUUGCUGAGUCCAGUAAAAAGUUCCUCCUUUUUCCAACUUGCGACAUUUCCUGUCAGCCGGGCCUCACCCAUCCUGCUGACUGUACUGUUCCACUUCCUCUUUUCCUAUAACUCCUCUCUUUAUCUGUUAACAUUAUCAACCACAUUCAACUUAGUAUUAAAAUCAUUUAAAUCAACUGUAAAUCAUUCAAAUCAUCUCAGCUCUGAUAUACAUUAAAAAUUAAUCACUUCUCUUUCAGAUUAUAAGUCAUCAAUCCAUAAUUAUUUGUUAACACUAUUAUGGUCAUUAUGGUCAUUAUUCAGAAAUACAUUUCAGAAUCAUUUAGUGGUCACCUAUACACAUACACAUAUUAGGGAUUGUACUCAUACAUGUUCAACUUAAUCAUUA
Xiphophorus couchianus (Monterrey platyfish) is the source of this 555-nucleotide long non-coding RNA. RefSeq lists it as uncharacterized. Lineage: Eukaryota; Metazoa; Chordata; Actinopteri; Cyprinodontiformes; Poeciliidae. The record is from RefSeq and is a predicted model, not a curated record. The transcript has 3 exons.